AACGCUGGCGGCGUGCCUAAUACAUGCAAGUCGAACGGUCUUUCUAUGGAAGCUUGCUCCACUGAGAAGAUAGUGGCGAACGGGUGAGUAACACGUGGGUAACCUGCCCAUAAGAGGGGGGAUAACAUCCGGAAACGGGUGCUAAUACCGCAUAGUUUUCUUGAUCGCAUGAUCGGGAAAGGAAAGACGGCCUUUGUGCUGUCGCUUAUGGAUGGACCCGCGGCGUAUUAGUUAGUUGGUGAGGUAACGGCUCACCAAGACGAUGAUACGUAGCCGACCUGAGAGGGUGAUCGGCCACAUUGGGACUGAGACACGGCCCAAACUCCUACGGGAGGCAGCAGUAGGGAAUCUUCCGCAAUGGACGAAAGUCUGACGGAGCAACGCCGCGUGAGUGAAGAAAGGUUUUCGGAUCGUAAAACUCUGUUGUCAGAGAAGAACAAGUUGGAGAGUAACUGCUCCAGCCUUGACGGUAUCUGACCAGAAAGCCACGGCUAACUACGUGCCAGCCGCUGC
This 513-nucleotide ribosomal RNA is filed under the name uncultured bacterium. Its description in RNAcentral is "bacterial SSU rRNA". It matches the Rfam family "Bacterial small subunit ribosomal RNA", at positions 32 to 518 of the family's 1533-position model. The record is from RNAcentral.